GAUGAACGCUGGCGGCGUGCCUAAUACAUGCAAGUCGAACGAGGUGCUUUUGUAGCAAUACGAGAGUAUCCUAGUGGCGAACGGGUGAGUAACGCGUUGGUGACCUACCCCAAAGUGUGGGAUAACAGUCCGAAAGGAUUGCUAAUACCGCAUGUGGUCUUCGGAUUUAGAAACUGAUGACUAAAGGAGCAAUUUCGCUUUGGGAGGGACCUGCGUCCCAUCAGCUAGUUGGUGAGGUAAUGGCUCACCAAGGCUACGACGGGUAGGGGACCUGAGAGGGUGACCCCCCCACAAUGGAACUGAAACACGGUCCAUACACCUACGGGUGGCAGCAGUAGGGAAUAUUGCACAAUGGGCGAAAGCCUGAUGCAGCAACGCCGCGUGUGCGAUGAAGGCCUUCGGGUC
Molecule: ribosomal RNA, 405 nt
Filed under: uncultured bacterium
Lineage: Bacteria
Description: bacterial SSU rRNA
Rfam family: Bacterial small subunit ribosomal RNA
Source: RNAcentral